ACAGCAGCACGGAUGGUCGCGGCGAAAAGCUGAGGAAAGUCCGGGCUUCAUAGGGCAGGAUGCCGGAUAACGUCCGGUGGAGGUGACUCCCAGGAAAGUGCAACAGAAAAUAGACCGCCCAACUUUGUUGGGUAAGGGUGGAAUGGCGGUGUAAGAGACCACCGGUCUUCCGGUAACGGAAGGCGCUGUGCAAACCCCAUCUGAAGCAAGACCAAACAGAGGGCUAUACGGUUGCCCGCCGUGCUCUCGGGUAGGUCGCGUUCCGGGCCGGUAACGGUCCGGAGGAGCUGUCCGGUAACGGGCAGUCAAGAUAGAUGACCAUCUAUUACAUAACCCGGCUUAUAGUGCUGCUGUUGUU
Molecule: RNase P RNA, 358 nt
Filed under: Lachnospiraceae bacterium
Lineage: Bacteria; Bacillati; Bacillota; Clostridia; Lachnospirales; Lachnospiraceae
Description: RNase P RNA component class A
Rfam family: Bacterial RNase P class A
About the family: Ribonuclease P (RNase P) is a ubiquitous endoribonuclease, found in archaea, bacteria and eukarya as well as chloroplasts and mitochondria. Its best characterised activity is the generation of mature 5'-ends of tRNAs by cleaving the 5'-leader elements of precursor-tRNAs.
Source: RNAcentral